Long non-coding RNA from Oreochromis aureus, 2000 nucleotides. RefSeq lists it as uncharacterized. NCBI's taxonomy places the organism in Eukaryota, Metazoa, Chordata, Actinopteri, Cichliformes, Cichlidae. The transcript has 3 exons. The record is from RefSeq and is a predicted model, not a curated record.
AGUCAAAAUGCCUGGGCCGAUUUUUUGUCCCAGUCCAGCCCUGCCUCAUCCUCAUUUAAGCCGUGAAUCAAUCCAAAAAGAUUUGAUUUAGAUUAAAAAAACAAAACAAAAAACAUUAAAAGAAAUAAAAUAAGUCAAAGGCACCAGGCUGUGUGGAUGAUUCUUAGAUAGUAACAGACUCCGGGGUGGAUCCAUCUUCCAGUCAGCAGAUCCACGGAGUCCCUGAUUCCACAGGAUCAGCUCUCCUUCAGAUCCAUCAGACUCACUGCAGACCCACAGAGGAUCCACUCAUUUUAUUUCUGCCCACGAUCAGACUUUACAGAAGCUCUGUGGACUCAAACAGAAUACAACAGGUGAUGCAGGUGGAUGAUCAUGGAGGAGGCACAACGAGGUCUGAUAUUAGCAGGCAAAUCCAACCACGUCAGCCUGCAGCAGGUGGAGGACGUCCAAGAAGCUGUGCUGCUGUAAGGAACAUGAUCCUGCUGCUCCAUGGAAACAGGUUUAAUGGUGCCAGAGCUUCUAUCAGAGGCUUCAGACAGAAGGUGAAGCAGUUUGUUUGCAUGAACACAGAUUUAGAUGGUGUCUGUGGGCUGGGUGGAUGUUCUCCUCUCACUGUGAUGGAGGUAAAAAAGCUUUCUUCAGUAACAUAAUGACACAGUUUACACGUUUAUAAGGAUUUGAUUCAUGUUUACACUUGUUUUGUGUUGACUUUGGGGAUAAAACCAGUUAAUAAGAAUAUAAUAAAAUAAUAAUAAAAGCACUAAUGUGACAUUUUAGUCUCUUUGUUUGUCCUUAAAAAGCACCGAAAAUAUUAUAACAUCAUUAUAUUAUUAUUAUUUGCUGUGGGUGUGGCUAUUUUAAAGGGCUACAGGGUUUCAUCCAUGUUUAAGAAGAACUCGGUCGUGUUUGCAGAAAACAAGUUGAUUUGCGUUCUGUGUGAAUGUUUGAACUCGUGCUGUGUGACGCUGGAAGUUCUUCUGAUUUCUGGAUGUUUUCAUCUCAAAAUGCUGCAGUUAUAAAACUGAUCACAGGUCCACCUGAAGACAGCUUGAACAUGAAUACAGUGUUGAUAACAGCUUGGUUAUAAUAAUCUUAUAAAUGCAUAAAUAUAUCAGUGUGUAUUUUGUGUCACAAAGGGUCUCAGUGAUGUGUUAAAUACAGAAAUCUUGUUUUGAGAUAAAACUUUUAGAAGCUGUAGUUGUGGACGACGGUGUGACUGCUGUAAAAUAAGAGCGAUGCUAAAACAUAUUUGGAGAACUGUUGACAGACUAAAUCCUAAAAAUCCAACAGUAUCUGUGUUUCUUCAUUGUAUGAAACAAACAUGAAUUCCUGCCUGACUGGUUCAGUUAGUUUGUUCAGCAGAGUUUAAAUAAAGAUCUAAAACUGAACGUCUUGAAAGAUUAAAAGUUUUAUUUAAAAAACAUCUUUUUGCUGCAGUUUAUGAGAUUUUAUUUUUUUAAUAAUUGUUCAGUUAAUAUUUGAUGUCCUGAUGAGCUGUAAGAUGAUGUCAUUAUUUCUGCCAUUACUGGAUAAAAAUUAAUCACAUUUAGAGAAAAUCUCUGCUCUGAGACAGAGAUUAGACAUGUUUCUAAUCUGAUGUAAUCUGAGUAUCACUGAUAGACGACUCUGUGACAGCUGCAGCAGACAUGUUUAAUGAGUCACUGUUCAUACUGUUCAUGGUUCAGUCACAGUAACUGUCCCAACUCUGUGAUUAAUGUCAAGUUUUAUUAUUAAAAGAUUAUAAUUAUUGUCAGGGUCCUGGGUCAUUUUCACCCAGCAUUCUUAGUUUUCUUGUAUUUUUGAAUUUUGUUAGUUCAUUAUUUAUUUUCUGGUUGUUCAGUUUAGUUUAUUGGAUCCCCGCCUGUGUCUCUGCCCUCUGUCUGUGUAUUUAGGUCAUAGUUGUGUGCGCCUCCCUGUGUUUCCUUGUGAGUAGCUUUAGUAUUUCCCAGUUUAGUUUUUGUAUCGCCCUGUCUGUAAAUAAAGCUGCAUUUUGAGUUUGA